UACGUAGGGUGCGAGCGUUAAUCGGAUUUACUGGGCGUAAAGCGUGCGCAGGCGGCCCGUUAAGACAGGUGUGAAAUCCCUGGGCUCAACCUAGGAAUUGCGCUUGUGACUGGCGGGCUCGAGUACGGUAGAGGGGGGUGGAAUUCCUGGUGUAGCAGUGAAAUGCGUAGAGAUCAGGAGGAACACCGAUGGCGAAGGCAGCCCCCUGGGCCUGUACUGACGCUCAUGCACGAAAGCGUGGGGUGCAAACAGG
RNAcentral lists this ribosomal RNA (253 nucleotides) under uncultured microorganism. Its description in RNAcentral is "partial 16S ribosomal RNA". It matches the Rfam family "Bacterial small subunit ribosomal RNA", at positions 524 to 776 of the family's 1533-position model. The record is from RNAcentral.